GCCCGCGUCGUCCCGGAGGCGGGACACCGGUCCGUAAAACCGGCGCGCUGCGCGCAGGACAGGUUCGACUCCUGUCGCGGGCA
This 83-nucleotide transfer RNA is filed under the name Elusimicrobiota bacterium. RNAcentral describes it as "Elusimicrobia bacterium tRNA-Tyr". It matches the Rfam family "tRNA". From Rfam's summary of the family: Transfer RNA (tRNA) molecules are approximately 80 nucleotides in length. Their secondary structure includes four short double-helical elements and three loops (D, anti-codon, and T loops). Further hydrogen bonds mediate the characteristic L-shaped molecular structure. tRNAs have two regions of fundamental functional importance: the anti-codon, which is responsible for specific mRNA codon recognition, and the 3' end, to which the tRNAs corresponding amino acid is attached (by aminoacyl-tRNA synthetases). tRNAs cope with the degeneracy of the genetic code in two manners: having more than one tRNA (with a specific anti-codon) for a particular amino acid; and 'wobble' base-pairing, i.e. permitting non-standard base-pairing at the 3rd anti-codon position. The record is from RNAcentral. Lineage: Bacteria; Pseudomonadati; Elusimicrobiota.